GAUGAACGCUGGCGGCGUGCCUAAUACAUACAAGUCGAGCGAACAGACGAGGAGCUUGCUCCUCUGACGUUAGCGGCGGACGGGUGAGUAACACGUGGAUAACCUACCUAUAAGACUGGGAUAACUUCGGGAAACCGGAGCUAAUACCGGAUAAUAUAUUGAACCGCAUGGUUCAAUAGUGAAAGACGGUUUUGCUGUCACUUAUAGAUGGAUCCGCGCCGCAUUUGCUAGUUGGUAAGGUAACGGCUUACCAAGGCAACGAUGCGUAGCCGACCUGAGAGGGUGAUCGGCCACACUGGAACUGAGACACGGUCCAGACUCCUACGGGAGGCAGCAGUAGGGAAUCUUCCGCAAUGGGCGAAAGCUUGACGGAGCAACGCCGCGUGAGUGAUGAAGGUCUUCGGAUCGUAAAACUCUGUUAUUAGGGAAGAACAAAUGUGUAAGUAACUAUGCACGUCUUGACGGUACCUAAUCAGAAAGCCACGGCUAACUACGUG
This 497-nucleotide ribosomal RNA is filed under the name uncultured bacterium. RNAcentral's name for it is "partial 16S ribosomal RNA". It matches the Rfam family "Bacterial small subunit ribosomal RNA", at positions 28 to 507 of the family's 1533-position model. The record is from RNAcentral.